CCUACGGGAGGCAGCAGUGAGGAAUAUUGGUCAAUGGUCGGGAGACUGAACCAGCCAAGCCGCGUGAGGGAGGAAGGUACAGAGUAUCGUAAACCUCUUUUGUCAGGGCACAAAGACUGGGACGCGUCCCCGGAUGAGUGUACCUGAAGAAAAAGCAUCGGCUAACUCGGUGCCAGCAGCCGCGGUAAUACGGGGGAUGCGAGCGUUAUCCGGAUUUAUUGGGUUUAAAGGGGGCGCAGGCGGACUGUUAAGUCGGCGGGAAAACCCCGGGGCUCAACCCCGGCCUGCCGUUGAAACUGGGAGUCGUGAGUUGGAGAGAGGCAGGCGGAAUGCGGGGUGUAGCGGUGAAAUGCAUAGAUAUCGCGCAGAACUCCGAUGGCGAAGGCAGCAUGCCGGCUCCACACUGACGCUGAGGCACGAAAGCGUGGGUAUCGAACAGGAUUAGAUACCCCUGUAGUC
This 459-nucleotide ribosomal RNA is filed under the name uncultured bacterium. Its description in RNAcentral is "partial 16S ribosomal RNA". It matches the Rfam family "Bacterial small subunit ribosomal RNA", at positions 338 to 795 of the family's 1533-position model. The record is from RNAcentral.